AGCUCCAAUAGCGUAUAUUAAAGUUGUUGCAGUUAGAACGCUCGUAGUCGGAUUUCGGGGCGGGCCGACCGGUCUGCCGAUGGGUACGCACUGGUCGGCGCGUCCUUCCUUCCGGAGACCGUGCCUACUCUUAACUGAGCGGGGGCGGGAGACGGAUCGUUUACUUUGAAAAAAUCAGAGUGUUUCAAGCAGGCAGCUCGCUCUUGCAUGGAUUAGCAUGGGAUAAUGAAAUAGGACUUUGGUGCUAUUUUGUUGGUUUCGAACACCGAAGUAAUGAUUAACAGGGACAGUCAGGGGCACUCGUAUUCCGCCGAGAGAGGUGAAAUUCUCAGACCAGCGGAAGACGAACUACUGCGAAAGCAUUUGCCAGGGAUGUUUUCACUG
This 384-nucleotide ribosomal RNA is filed under the name Chrysochromulina sp. RNAcentral's name for it is "SSU rRNA". It matches the Rfam family "Eukaryotic small subunit ribosomal RNA", at positions 587 to 975 of the family's 1831-position model. Lineage: Eukaryota; Haptophyta; Prymnesiales; Chrysochromulinaceae. RNAcentral also lists the same sequence under 1 other name. The record is from RNAcentral.